GGGUGACCGGCCACACUGGGACUGAGACACCGCCCAGACUCCUACGGGAGGCAGCAGUGGGGAAUAUUGCACAAUGGGCGAAAGCCCUGAUGCAGCGACGCCCGCGUGAGGGGAUGACGGCCUUCGGGUUGUAAACCUCUUUCAGCAGGGACGAAGCGCAAGUGACGGUACCUGCAGAAGAAGCACCGGCUAACUACGUGCCAGCAGCCGCGGUAAUACGUAGGGUGCGAGCGUUGUCCGGAAUUAUGUGGGCGUAAAGAGCUCGUAGGCGGUUUGUCGCGUCGGCCGUGAAAACUUGGGGCUUAACCCCGAGCCUGCGGUCGAUACGGGCAGACUUGAGUUCGGCAGGGGAGACUGGAAUUCCUGGUGUAGCGGUGAAAUGCGCAGAUAUCAGGAGGAACACCGGUGGCGAAGGCGGGUCUCUGGGCCGAUACUGACGCUGAGGAGCGAAAGCGUGGGGAGCGAACAGGAUUAGAUACCCUGGUAGUCCACGCCGUAAACGGUGGGUGCUAGGUGUGGGGGACUUCCACGUUCUCCGUGCCGCAGCUAACGCAUUAAGCACCCCGCCUGGGGAGUACGGCCGCAAGGCUAAAACUCAAAGGAAUUGACGGGGGCCCGCACAAGCGGCGGAGCAUGUGGAUUAAUUCGAUGCAACGCGAAGAACCUUACCUGGGCUUUGACAUGCACUGGAAACCGGUAGAGAUAUCGGCCCCCUUGUGGCCGGCGUACAGGUGGUGCAUGGCUGUCGUUCAGCUCGUGUCGUGAGAUGUUGGGGUUAAGUCCCGCAACGAGCGCAACCCUCGUUCCAUGUUGCCAGCACGUUAUGGGUGGGGACCUCAUGGGGAGACUGCCGGGGUCAACUCGGAGGAAGGUGGGGAUGACGUCAAGUCAUCAUGCCCCUUAUGUCCAGGGCUUCACACAUGCUACAAUGGCCGGUACAAAGGGCUGCUAAGCCGUGAGGUGGAGCGAAUCCCAUAAAG
RNAcentral lists this ribosomal RNA (980 nucleotides) under Lentzea sp. BAB-5745. RNAcentral describes it as "bacterial SSU rRNA". It matches the Rfam family "Bacterial small subunit ribosomal RNA", at positions 298 to 1281 of the family's 1533-position model. The record is from RNAcentral. Lineage: Bacteria; Bacillati; Actinomycetota; Actinomycetes; Pseudonocardiales; Pseudonocardiaceae.